UGUCAACUAGUUUGUUUAUAGCUGUUUUGUUAGUCGACCUUAAAUUAGUCAACCUUAAAACACUCUGCGAUUUUUUAAAUGGAUAAAAAUAUCAAACAUUUUUCCACAAAUUUUGUGUUGCCAACCAAAUUUCUUAUGCUGUCAUUGAAAAUGUUGGAAAAAGCCUAUGUCGAUCUUCAACGUCUUCGACUGACGGUAACGUCGACAAAGUGAAGGAAAUGGUGAUGGAAAAUCGUCAUUCAAGCUUAAAAGAGAUGACUCAGGAUCUAGACAUAUCUCACGAAUCCGUUCGCAUCAUUUUAGUUGAUGUUUUGGACACGAGACGCGUCGCAGUGCGGUUUGUUCCGAAGGAGCUGAAUUUUCUUCAAAAAGAGCACCGCAACAGGUUGCUGAAGACAUACGAGGUGUGUUCAUAAAAUAACGGGAAUUUUUUAAUUUCGCAGGUUUGGAGAGUCCGAUCGUCAAAAAUUUUUUUUAUUAUGUUGGUACACAUGUCCCUGAAAUAUGAUAACAUUUUUAGCUGAAUUCAUUGUUUACUUUGUGGCAGCCGCUAAGGUUAGACGUGUUUUUAUGAGCUCGGCGAUUUUCGUUUG
This is an RNA transcript of Dinoponera quadriceps, 593 nucleotides long. RefSeq lists it as uncharacterized. The record is from RefSeq and is a predicted model, not a curated record. The transcript is spliced from 2 exons. NCBI's taxonomy places the organism in Eukaryota, Metazoa, Arthropoda, Insecta, Hymenoptera, Formicidae.